RNAcentral lists this ribosomal RNA (250 nucleotides) under uncultured bacterium. RNAcentral describes it as "partial 16S ribosomal RNA". It matches the Rfam family "Bacterial small subunit ribosomal RNA", at positions 28 to 275 of the family's 1533-position model. The record is from RNAcentral.
GAUGAACGCUAGCGGCAGGCCUAAUACAUGCAAGCCGAACGGCAAGACUUGUAGCAAUAUGAGUCCUAGAGUGGCGUAAGGGUGCGUAACACGUAUGCAAUCUGCCCGCAACAGGAGUAUAGCUCCCCGAAAGGGGAAUUAAUCCUCCAUAGUACCAUUGGGAGGCAUCUUUUGGUGGUUAAACUUUAAGGGGUUGCGGAUGAGCAUGCGCAUGAUUAGCUAGUUGGUAGGGUAACGGCCUACCAAGGCG